CAACCCUUAAGCCUAGCUUAGUGUUGGGAGUCUACAUAGUGGUGCUGCCUUGUGUAGCUAUCACGUAGUUCCCUAAAUCCAACGGCGGAUCUACGGUGUCCUCUGAGCGUAGUAAAUUCUUAUCUCGCUUCUGUUAGGUGCUGUGGCUCUUGCCGCUAAACCCCCAAUUUUUAAU
Molecule: unclassified non-coding RNA, 175 nt
Filed under: uncultured Ascomycota
Lineage: Eukaryota; Fungi; Ascomycota
Description: sequence contains ITS2
Source: RNAcentral